GUCCUUCCUGUGCUGGGAACCCCAGAGCUGGAGGCAACACUUGAGGUGAGGUCUCACCGCUUUCCUGUAAGGUCUUGGGAGCUGAGAAGCCUCAGGAGAAACGUCCCAGCCCCAUUCCUUGCUCCCAGACUCCUCUGCAACCUGUGAGGGCACCUCUUGCAGGCUCCCUGGGAUGCUGGGAACACAGAGGGAAGUACCGGGCAGAGGCAGCAGAGCAGCUCCAGCAGUGGAGGACGUGGGCCGAGACAUCCGAAAUGUGGGCUGCAGGCAAACGGAUUUAUCCUUAGGGCUUCCCUUUCCAAGUCCAGUGCAGGACACAACAGUGACCUUGCCUUGAGAAAUAUUUGGGGUUCAGCUGAUGACCGUGCUACUUGAGGGUGCCAUGAGAUGGCCAAGUUAUUUCGAAUUCCCACUUCCCUGUUUGUCCUGGCCUUGCAAGCGUAGCAGUUUAAUAAAUGCUUUACAACGCUGAGAA
Long non-coding RNA from Corvus hawaiiensis (hawaiian crow), 475 nucleotides. RefSeq lists it as uncharacterized. The record is from RefSeq and is a predicted model, not a curated record. NCBI's taxonomy places the organism in Eukaryota, Metazoa, Chordata, Aves, Passeriformes, Corvidae. The transcript has 2 exons.